This 436-nucleotide ribosomal RNA is filed under the name uncultured Alphaproteobacteria bacterium. Its description in RNAcentral is "bacterial SSU rRNA". It matches the Rfam family "Bacterial small subunit ribosomal RNA", at positions 340 to 793 of the family's 1533-position model. Lineage: Bacteria; Pseudomonadati; Pseudomonadota; Alphaproteobacteria. The record is from RNAcentral.
UACGGGAGGCAGCAGUGGGGAAUAUUGGACAAUGGGCGCAAGCCUGAUCCAGCCAUGCCGCGUGAGUGAUGAAGGCCUUAGGGUUGUAAAGCUCUUUCGUCCGGGACGAUAAUGACGGUACCGGAAGAAGAAGCCCCGGCUAACUUCGUGCCAGCAGCCGCGGUAAUACGAAGGGGGCUAGCGUUGUUCGGAAUCACUGGGCGUAAAGGGCGCGUAGGCGGCUUUAUAAGUCGGGGGUGAAAGCCUGUGGCUCAGCCACAGAAUUGCCUUCGAUACUGUAGAGCUUGAGACCGGAAGAGGUAAGUGGAACUGCGAGUGUAGAGGUGAAAUUCGUAGAUAUUCGCAAGAACACCAGUGGCGAAGGCGGCUUACUGGUCCGGUUCUGACGCUGAGGCGCGAAAGCGUGGGGAGCAAACAGGAUUAGAUACCCUGGUAG